GAUUAAUUCCAUCUCUUCACACUCAAUCUCCGUCUGCCAUCCACCGUGCUUCAAGUCGGGCUCCUUCGAAAAUGUCAUCCAUCGUCGCUUCUCUAUACGAAAACUCCAUCCUUCUUUAUUUAGAGAUUAGAAAUUAAUUCUCAUUCACGUAUGAAGAUAUCUUGAUUUGUGAUUUGAACCUUUUGUAUUUGUAUAGAAGCGACGUAUUGCUCAUGGUGCUUUGGGUUUUUUGGGUUAGAAAUUUGAACCUCACGCAUGAAGAGGUUAGAAAUUAAUUCCUCUUCCCUCUUCACGUAUAAAGUUGGGGAAAGUCCAUAUAUCACAUGGUGCUUUGGGUUCUCCUUACAAAUCCAAUGGAGUUGAUGAUUGAUAUGAGAAGAUACAGAUUGAUAGAAGGAGAUAUGGCUUAUACGGGACCGUAUUUUCCCUACUGUCACACAGUAGAUGACCGUGAGGGAUACUCUAAACUCUGCACUUGAUGAAGAAAUGUCUGUUGAUCAAAAAAAAAAAAAAUUUAUGAGAGAAGAGGUCGGAGAAUAUCAGGAGACUUAUAAGGUUAGAUAACCAAAAGGAUUUUGGAGAAAUAUGGUUCUGAGAGGGUUCUUGAUACCCCAAUCACAGAGGAGGUAAAAUGCAGAACAUUUGUUAACCAAGUCACUUAUUUCGGACUAAAAAAAAGGCUGCGAGAACCGGUGACUUAGAGCUUUUUCGUCGCGACUUGGAGCUUUCUCAAACUGUUAUUGGGAAGUUUUUGGAUAGUUUUUAGAUAAGUUAGUUAAUUUAGGAAGUUGAGUUGAACUAGGAUGUUGAGUUGAACUUAUGACAAUCUAAUGAGAUUGUUUAUAUUAUUUUUGCAACUGA
Molecule: RNA transcript, 861 nt
Organism: Cucumis sativus (cucumber)
Lineage: Eukaryota; Viridiplantae; Streptophyta; Magnoliopsida; Cucurbitales; Cucurbitaceae
Gene name: pyruvate dehydrogenase E1 component subunit beta, mitochondrial-like
Exons: 6
Source: RefSeq, a predicted model, not a curated record